RNAcentral lists this transfer RNA (65 nucleotides) under Orius niger. Its description in RNAcentral is "tRNA-Arg". Lineage: Eukaryota; Metazoa; Arthropoda; Insecta; Hemiptera; Anthocoridae. The record is from RNAcentral.
AGUAGUGAAGUAAAAUAUUACAUUUAGUUUCGACCUAAAAAUUAGAGAUUAUCUCCUUACUUUUA